RNAcentral lists this unclassified non-coding RNA (278 nucleotides) under Glomeraceae sp. Its description in RNAcentral is "partial contains 5.8S ribosomal RNA and internal transcribed spacer 2". The stretch from base 1 to 65 matches the Rfam family "5.8S ribosomal RNA", at positions 84 to 154 of the family's 154-position model. The record is from RNAcentral. Lineage: Eukaryota; Fungi; Glomeromycota; Glomeromycetes; Glomerales; Glomeraceae.
GUGAAUCAUCAAAUCUUUGAACGCAAAUUGCACUCUCUUCGGAGAGUAUGCCUGUUUGAGGGUCAGCCUAAAAAAAAUCGACAUCGUUGCUGUUUCGCGGUGGCGUUCGUCGGAAAUUGGGUUAUCUUAAAUCUUUGGUUUAAGCGACUUAAAAUUUUCUUUACGACUCCACGAACGUUUCCAAGAUUUAUUUCUUUACACGUUUAAGGUAUCGAUUUUAUUAGGCGUGGUCGUCAUAUCGAUUAUGGUCCAUAUUUUUUGUUUACUUAACUCAGGCC